AACGCCGAUCGUGUGGCCUAUGAACGAAAAACGGGAGAAGGGGAAACCGAUAUCCUUCGAGUGACACACACGCAUGCAUCUGCAUGCGUAUUCCGCUGAACCGAGACUACCCAUCUCUCUCGAUCUCCCAUGAUUUUUCUGCUAUCGCGCUCAUCCGGGUGUUAGGCAUCCUCAGUCUGUCCAGAACUUUCACUGUGGAAGGAUGUGUUGGAGUGAUGUGUGAUUUCUUGUGCCCCGUACUUUGCUCGUUUACGUUUUGUGCCGUGUUCCUUCUUCUUCAAUUAUGGAAUGAUUUAUCCUUGUAAAUUUCUAAGUUACAGUGCACGCGCAUGUUAAUCGACGGUUGCCAACAUCCCGCAAAACGAUCGACGGAAGGAAAACGGUGUCCGGUUUUAAAAUAUAAAGAUUUCAUUACAGCUCUUUCGUAGAAGAGCGCACUUCAAUGACGCCUAGGAUACGGCUAAACAUGCGCAGCACCAGUCCGUGACGUCAUUUCCAGACAGGCGCCGGCUGAACACGCGCAGCACCAGUCGAGGAUAUCCUAGCGCAGAGGGUAGAAGGAAGAACGAGAGGAAGGGUAAUAGAAAGCAACCGCAGCAUUUGGAAGGAGUGAAGCAUCCUGCCGUAUGCAGAGAGUGAGUGUGCCAAAACGCACGUGGAAAGAGCAACACCAAUAAAUAGCAUGCGAAAGUGUGCAUAAAGCAAAAAGAAAAAGCGUCACUACUACAACCAGCAAUCCGAAAAUAUAAGGGGAGGGAUAAAUACAAAUGUAUGCGUAAGCAGGACCAGCAAUCCAAGCAUUUGAAUGUGUGCGUCGGUUUGUGCCGUGCUGAAAGUUUUUACUUUAGCUGCUGCUAGUGUAAAAACUUAAGGAAAGCUUAAAGUAAAAAUUUUUUACACGGGGCGCCUUCGGAAAUUGUUGGCUGGGUGUCUGGAAAUGACGUCACGGACUGGUGCUGCGCAUGUUUAGCCGUAUCCUAGGCGUCCUUGAAGUGCGCUCUUCUACGAAAGAGCUGUGAUGAAA
Long non-coding RNA from Anopheles coluzzii, 1024 nucleotides. RefSeq lists it as uncharacterized. The transcript is spliced from 3 exons. NCBI's taxonomy places the organism in Eukaryota, Metazoa, Arthropoda, Insecta, Diptera, Culicidae. The record is from RefSeq and is a predicted model, not a curated record.